ACUCCUACGGGAGGCAGCAGUGGGGAAUAUUGCACAAUGGGCGCAAGCCUGAUGCAGCCAUGCCGCGUGUGUGAAGAAGGCCUUCGGGUUGUAAAGCACUUUCAGUCGUGAGGAAGGUAGUGUAGUUAAUAGCUGCAUUAUUUGUACGUUAGCGACAGAAGAAGCACCGGCUAACUCCGUGCCAGCAGCCGCGGUAAUACGGAGGGUGCGAGCGUUAAUCGGAAUUACUGGGCGUAAAGCGCAUGCAGGUGGUUUGUUAAGUCAGAUGUGAAAGCCCGGGGCUCAACCUCGGAAUAGCAUUUGAAACUGGCAGACUAGAGUACUGUAGAGGGGGUAGAAUUUCAGGUGUAGCGGUGAAAUGCGUAGAGAUCUGAAGGAAUACCGGUGGCGAAGGCGGCCCCUGGACAGAUACUGACACUCAGAUGCGAAA
RNAcentral lists this ribosomal RNA (430 nucleotides) under uncultured bacterium. Its description in RNAcentral is "bacterial SSU rRNA". It matches the Rfam family "Bacterial small subunit ribosomal RNA", at positions 335 to 758 of the family's 1533-position model. The record is from RNAcentral.